AAAGAAAGUAAGCAAGGGCGCAUGGCGGAUGCCUUGGCUCUCGGAGGCGAUGAAGGACGUGAUAAGCUGCGAUAAGCUUCGGGCAGGUGCAAAUAACCUUUGAUCCGAAGAUUUCCGAAUGGGACAACCCGUCAUUCUGAAGGAAUGACAUCUUGCAUAGCAAGAGGCUAACGCAGGGAACUGAAACAUCUUAGUACCUGUAGGAAAAGAAAAUAAUAAUGAUUCCCCUAGUAGUGGCGAGCGAACGGGGAUUAGCCCAAACCAAUGUUGUUACGGCAAUAUUGGGGUUGUAGGACCACGAUGUCGCAAGAAGUUUAGUGAGAAGAACCCUUUGGAAAAUGGGACCAUAGACGGUGAUAGUCCGGUAUUCGAAGCUAAAUGAAGCGUAGUGGUAUCCUGAGUAGCGCGGGACACGAGGAAUCUUGCGUGAAUCUGCCGGGACCAUCCGGUAAGGCUAAAUACUCCCGAGAGACCGAUAGCGAACCAGUACUGUGAAGGAAAGGUGAAAAGCACUUCGAAUAGAAGAGUGAAAUAGUCCCUGAAACCGUGCGCCUACAAGCGGUCGGAGCUGCUUCAGCAGUGACGGCGUGCCUUUUGCAUAAUGAACCUACGAGUUACUUUUUCCGGCAAGGUUAAGGAUCUUGAGAUCCGCAGCCGAAGCGAAAGCGAGUCUUAAUAGGGCGAUUAGUCGGAAGGAGUAGACGCGAAACCAAGUGAUCUACCCUUGGUCAGGUUGAAGGUUAGGUAACACUAACUGGAGGACCGAACCGAUAAGCGUUGAAAAGCUUCCGGAUGAACUGAGGGUGGGGGUGAAAGGCUAAUCAAACUUGGAGAUAGCUCGUACUCCCCGAAAUGCAUUUAGGUGCAGCCUUGGGAAUUACUACUGUGAGGUAGAGCGACUGAUAAGAUGCGAGGGCUUCACCGCCUAUCAAGUCUUGAUAAACUCCGAAUGCGCAGUAGUUCGAUCCCAGGAGUGAGGGCAUGGGUGCUAAGGUCCAUGUCCUAAAGGAGAAGAAUCCAGACCAUCAGCUAAGGUCCCGAAAUAAUUGCUAAGUUGAACUAACGAAGUCAGAUUGCUAAGACAGCUAGGAUGUUGGCUUGGAAGCAGCCAUUCAUUUAAAGAGUGCGUAACAGCUCACUAGUCGAGGAGU
Molecule: ribosomal RNA, 1151 nt
Filed under: Phocaeicola vulgatus
Lineage: Bacteria; Pseudomonadati; Bacteroidota; Bacteroidia; Bacteroidales; Bacteroidaceae
Description: Bacteroides vulgatus partial 23S ribosomal RNA
Rfam family: Bacterial large subunit ribosomal RNA
Source: RNAcentral